This 484-nucleotide ribosomal RNA is filed under the name uncultured bacterium. RNAcentral's name for it is "partial 16S ribosomal RNA". It matches the Rfam family "Bacterial small subunit ribosomal RNA", at positions 28 to 523 of the family's 1533-position model. The record is from RNAcentral.
GAUGAACGCUGGCGGCGUGCUUAACACAUGCAAGUCGAGCGGUGAAGCAGGAGCUUGCUCUUGUGGAUCAGUGGCGAACGGGUGAGUAACACGUGAGCAACCUGCCCCUGACUCUGGGAUAAGCGCUGGAAACGGCGUCUAAUACUGGAUAUGUGAUGUGACCGCAUGGUCUGCAUCUGGAAAGAAUUUCGGUUGGGGAUGGGCUCGCGGCCUAUCAGCUUGUUGGUGAGGUAAUGGCUCACCAAGGCGUCGACGGGUAGCCGGCCUGAGAGGGUAACAGGCCACACUGGGAGUGAGACACGGCCCAGAAUCCGACGGGAGGAAGCGGGGGGGAAUAUUGCACAAUGGGCGGAAGCCUGAUGCACCAACGCCGCGUGAGGGAUGACGGCCUUCGGGUUGUAAACCUCUUUUAGCAGGGAAGAAGCGAAAGUGACGGUACCUGCAGAAAAAGCACCGGCUAACUACGUGCCAGCAGCCGCCGUAA